This is a long non-coding RNA of Oryzias melastigma (Indian medaka), 1720 nucleotides long. RefSeq lists it as uncharacterized. The transcript is spliced from 3 exons. The record is from RefSeq and is a predicted model, not a curated record. NCBI's taxonomy places the organism in Eukaryota, Metazoa, Chordata, Actinopteri, Beloniformes, Adrianichthyidae.
CUCAAAGGUGAAAAAAGUUCAAGCCUUCAGCCCUGAAACGAACCGCUCCGAACUCCAAACGAACCGAACCGGUCUGUAAAAACUCUGGAGUGUGUCGAACACUCUAGUAACACUUUGGAAAGGUUAAAAAAACACAAAAUCCGCUUAAAAACAGUCGGGAGAAACAGUAACAACUGACGAUUGGCGUCCAGAUUCAAACCGUGCGUGAUGACGUCACUCAAAUACGCCAAUGAGAGGCCAGGUAUUUUUUUAGAACAACUUUAUUGAAAACAUUUUGUUUUGUGUAUUUCAAACAUCCAAAACUGUUUUUAAUCCUAAUUUCUCUGAGUUCUCUUUUAUAUACUGUACUUAUAACAACAUUUUAACAGAAUAGCGUGAAAAGAACAAAAACAAACCUGAUUCAAAUGAAUAUUAUCAGGAAAAACAUUUUAGGAGAAUAAAGUUGUAAAGUUAUGAGGUAAAGUGUUACCGGAAUCAAGCUGUGCAGUUAUAUAGAGAUAAAACUAUACAAGUAAAAUUUAAGGAUAAAGAAUUAAAAUUUUAUGAGAAUAAAGUCAAAUAUUCAGAAAAAAGUUACGAUUUUACUAUAAUAAAAUAUUCAAGUUAUAAGAAGACAGUCAAAAUGUUUUGAGAAUAAAGUCAUAAAGUUAUGAGAAAACAGGGAUAUUUAUACAAGAAUAAAUUUGUAAAAAAUUGAAAAAAAGACAAAACUUUAUUAGAAUAAAGUUGUAAAAAAGUCACACUUUAACAUGAAUAACGUCACACAAUUGUGAAAGGUAAAAUGUUAGGAAAACUCACACAGUUAUGAUAUGAGUCUUAAUAUUUGCAAGGGAAUAAAAACACUUUGUGGAUAAUAAAGUUUUACAUUAACUUAAAAGUAAAGCAAAUUCAGUGUUCUUUGAAUUAUCUGCAGCAAAAACUCAACAGUUAAUGUUCAAUGAUCUUUGAUUCAAGUAAAUAUAACAUUUUAUUUUCAGAGAAGAUUUUUUCCCGGUCCCUGCGUGAUGUAACAGAGUCUUAAUGGCAGCAACUCAUAAAGGAGUACUCAUAGAUAUAUUAUACCAUCCAUCCAUGUUUUUUUUGCUUCCUGUGCUUGUUGGAAGCUUCUACAACUGCUUGCUGUUCAGAAUCCAACUCUGGUUCUGAAGCUUUUGUCUCCACAGAUUGGUCUUCUGGGACGUCCUGGGAUUGUUCCGGUUUGGGUUCAGGCAAACCCUCUGUUUGGUCAGCAGACUCCACAGGUCGGCAUCAUCCAGCCAGGGAAUUUCUCCAGAGCCACCAGCAUCUUGAAGACCAAAACUGCUUUGGAUCUCUGGGUGAACCUGGACGAGGACUGAGAGAAAAUCUUCAACCAUCUGUACGUGGAAGAGUCCAACGACAAGUCAAGUCAACGUGCACGACCGGAUUGAGAACGACAGAGCCGGUCGUCAGAAGAUGACUCCACUGUUAAGAGGUCAGCAUCAUCCAGCCGGGAAAUUUCUCUGGAGCCACCAACAUCUUGAAGACCAAAACUGCUUUGGAUCUCUCAGCCAGAAAACCGCCACGCUGCAACAGGACAUAAACGCUCGUGUUGGAUCGUAUCGGGUCACUGAAAACGUGACUUGAUCCAGUGUGUUGUUAUCUCUGGUGGGAAACUUCUGAAGGUUCAGAAACACGGAAGAAAUUCCAACCCGGGUGAUGUAACAGAGUCUUAAUGGCAGCAACUCAUAGAGGAGUACUC